RNAcentral lists this ribosomal RNA (735 nucleotides) under Pseudomonas nitroreducens. RNAcentral describes it as "bacterial SSU rRNA". It matches the Rfam family "Bacterial small subunit ribosomal RNA", at positions 51 to 781 of the family's 1533-position model. Lineage: Bacteria; Pseudomonadati; Pseudomonadota; Gammaproteobacteria; Pseudomonadales; Pseudomonadaceae. The record is from RNAcentral.
ACACAUGCAAGUCGAGCGGAUGAUGGGAGCUUGCUCCUGGAUUCAGCGGCGGACGGGUGAGUAAUGCCUAGGAAUCUGCCUGGUAGUGGGGGACAACGUUUCGAAAGGAACGCUAAUACCGCAUACGUCCUACGGGAGAAAGCAGGGGACCUUCGGGCCUUGCGCUAUCAGAUGAGCCUAGGUCGGAUUAGCUAGUUGGUGGGGUAAAGGCCUACCAAGGCGACGAUCCGUAACUGGUCUGAGAGGAUGAUCAGUCACACUGGAACUGAGACACGGUCCAGACUCCUACGGGAGGCAGCAGUGGGGAAUAUUGGACAAUGGGCGAAAGCCUGAUCCAGCCAUGCCGCGUGUGUGAAGAAGGUCUUCGGAUUGUAAAGCACUUUAAGUUGGGAGGAAGGGCAGUAAGUUAAUACCUUGCUGUUUUGACGUUACCAACAGAAUAAGCACCGGCUAACUUCGUGCCAGCAGCCGCGGUAAUACGAAGGGUGCAAGCGUUAAUCGGAAUUACUGGGCGUAAAGCGCGCGUAGGUGGUUUGGUAAGAUGGAUGUGAAAUCCCCGGGCUCAACCUGGGAACUGCAUCCAUAACUGCCUGACUAGAGUACGGUAGAGGGUGGUGGAAUUUCCUGUGUAGCGGUGAAAUGCGUAGAUAUAGGAAGGAACACCAGUGGCGAAGGCGACCACCUGGACUGAUACUGACACUGAGGUGCGAAAGCGUGGGGAGCAAACAGGAUUAG